ACUCGCUUGGUGUAAUUUGGUAAACACGGUAGACUUAAAAUCUACUCCUGACACAGGGUAUUGGUUCAAGUCCGAUAGCGAGUA
RNAcentral lists this transfer RNA (84 nucleotides) under Cyanophora paradoxa. Its description in RNAcentral is "tRNA-Leu". It matches the Rfam family "tRNA". Rfam says of the family: Transfer RNA (tRNA) molecules are approximately 80 nucleotides in length. Their secondary structure includes four short double-helical elements and three loops (D, anti-codon, and T loops). Lineage: Eukaryota; Glaucocystophyceae; Cyanophorales; Cyanophoraceae. The record is from RNAcentral.